Molecule: long non-coding RNA, 1212 nt
Filed under: Gossypium barbadense (sea-island cotton)
Lineage: Eukaryota; Viridiplantae; Streptophyta; Magnoliopsida; Malvales; Malvaceae
Description: long non-coding RNA (GBAR_LNC010603)
Source: RNAcentral
GGGAUAAUUAAUUACAUUAAAUACAUAAUAUAUUUUAAAAAUUCUCUUAAGGCUAACUUUUAUGGAAGUUGAGUAAAGAUUGUUUCAUCUUUCUUUUAUGCUUGUAUUAAAAAUAUUUGUGUUAAAAAGUUCAUUUAUGGGAUCCUGGAGAAAUUGCUAUUCUUCUAUUGUAAUGGAUUCGGUGAUCGGAGAUAUGGCUUUCCCUAGAAGGGGUAUUGGAUGCUCAACCAAGAAGGUACAACGUAGGCUGACGGAGCCGCUUGAUCCAGAUGACCUUGUGGUGGAUGACAAGGGUAUGAAAGUGAACCCUACUAAUACUGCACCAAUUUCAUGGAAAGAUAAGUUAAUGGGCGAUAUGGCUAAUGUGAUGAAUACCCAAAAGGAUGAAAAUUUUGAUCUACAAAAGGGAGAAGCUAAAAAUGAGAUUGUUGAUGGCAUUCCUUCUAUCACUUUCUCUGAAAGAGUGUACCAGUUAUCGCAAAACGUAUGUCUAAGAGGGUAAUUGUUAAGUUGCUUAGUAGGAGAAUUUCAUAUCUCACAAUGUAUAGCAAACUGAAGGCAAUCGAGAAGGCGAAUGAUUCAUUGUAAAUUCUUGAUUUGGAAAGCGACUAUUUUUAGUCAAAUUUCAUGAUGAGGAAGAGUACCUUGUUGCUUUGUUGGGAGGACCCUGGACAAUUUUUGGAAACUAUCUCACUGUGAGUCCAUGGACACCGGCUUUCUCGAUAGAUUAAAUUCAACUCGAAAACCUAUUGGUCUAGAUUAGGUUACUGGGGAUGUCAUGCGGCAUGUACACAAAAAUUCUUCUCAAGUUUAUUGGAAGUGCAAUCAGGCUGGUGGUGAAGAUCGACCGAAACACUGAAAAUAAUUCCAAAAGUCAAUUUGUUAACCUGCCAGUCAAUGUUGAUUAAGGGGAGCCAUUGAUCUCUAAGGUUAAAAUCGAUGGGAAAAUGUAGAGGGUCAAAUAUGAAUCCUUACCCAUGGUUUUUUUUAUUGUGGGAAAUUUUGGCACUACCAAGAAAUUUGUUCACAUAAAAUGGGUUAAGGAGUUACAUUGGAGAUGGAGGAAGAUCAUUCGUGUGUUGAUGAAUCUAGGAUGUAAGGGAAAGUAGAGAAGGAGCAAUUUUGCCCUUGGAUGCUUGUCGACCGCAGACAGAGGAGGAAACCCCGGGCAACAGAGAAACCUAUCGAUGACUUGUAUAGCGGGGUGGUAGG